UUUUUGACAUUGUGAAAUUAUUGGCAUUAAUUAUCUCAAUGGGUUGCAACAAAGAAUUCUGUAAAGAUUAUUUGGAAUUGAAGGCAGAAGAAGCUAGUUGUCGUGAUUUAUUUAGGAUAUUUUAUUCAUGUGAAUUAGAAAAAAAGAAUUUCUUGGAUGCACCUGAAGGAACUGACAAGAUACGAGGUAUUCAACGGCGAUGGAUCAUUUUUGCCUCCUGUCUCUAUGCAGAGAUUCUUAAUUUCUGUGAGAAGGCCCAUGAACAUUAUAGGUUCUAAAGUUGUACUCUUCUUGAAUUAUCCUUCAUGUAAUGGUGGUCUUCUCAAGCUUUUCUUCAACAUAAUCCUAGGAGAGGUAAUAAGACCGGAAAUGAAAUCAGAGAAUUUUACAUCUAUGGUCGGAAAACUUGAUUGGAGGGUUGACUUAGACAAGACAAAAAAUGUGGGGGACAGCUACUAUAUUCCUUCACUCUCUAUUAUGGCUGCUAAAUUGUCCUAUGAAAAUGAAGCCUUUACCAAGAAAGUCAUCACACAUAAUUGGCAGAUGGACUUCAUAAAGUGUUACAGCUUUUGGAAUGCUUACCAGGAAGUAUACACCACACAAGCCAUUAUGUUUCAAGACAAAGUUGAAGAUUCAAACCUAGUUGUAGUGGCAUUUAGAGGAACCAUCCCAUAUAAUGCAGACCACUGGAUCACAGAUGUGGACCUUUCAUGGUAUGAGCUUGAAGGUGUAGGUAAGCUACAUGCUGGAUUCAUGAAAGCAUUGGGCUUGCAAAAGAACACAGGCUGGCCCAAAGAAAUAGAUGAAAGCCCAGACCAAAAACUAUUUGCAUAUUAUCAAAUCAGAAAAGAACUGAAAAGGAUAUUGAGCAAAAAUGAGAAGGCAAAGUUUAUACUGACAGGACAUAGUUUAGGAGGGGCAUUGGCAAUUUUAUUUGCAGCAAUAUUAACUUUGCAUGAAGAGGAAUGGCUGUUGGAUAAAUUGGAAGGAGUUUACACAUUUGGACAACCUAGAGUUGGGGAUCCACAAUUUGGGAACUUCAUGAAGGACAAGUUCAACAAGUACAAUGUCAAGUAUUAUAGACAUGUUUAUUCCAAUGAUAUGGUUCCUAGGUUGCCAUAUGAUGAUACAACCUUCUUCAAACAUUUUGGAUCAUGUCUCUAUUACAACAGCCUCUACUAUGGCAAGGUAAUGGAGGAAGAACCAAACAAGAACUACUUCUCUGUGCUAUGGUAUUUUCCCAUGUUACUGAUUGCAGUAUAUGAGUUUAUUAGGGGGUUCAUCCUCCCUUGGAUAAAAGGCAGUCAUUACAGAGAAGACUGGUUCCAGAUAAUGUUUAGGAUGGUAGGGUUGGUGAUUCCAGGGUUAUCAGCUCAUACUCCUAUAGAUUAUGUUAAUCUAACUCAAUUGGGAACAGUUCUUCACCUGCCACAAUCAGCUAAUCAAGAUCGUCUUAAAGGUGAUUGAAUUUCAAGAUUCAGAGUCAUUUAAAAAUAAGACAAUAAAAUUAUUCCAACCUAUUGUAAAAUCAACUCUACGGCUUGAAUAUUUCAUUAUUAUUAAUAUUUUGUAUCGUAUUGGCUUGUGAUGAGUUUGUAUUAUUUAUGUAAUAUGAUCAAUGAGGAUUCAUUUAACCAACCUCAUCGUUACGUUGUUUGGAACUGAA
This is an RNA transcript of Solanum dulcamara, 1666 nucleotides long. It is a transcript of the gene named triacylglycerol lipase OBL1-like, with no coding region annotated. The transcript is spliced from 5 exons. NCBI's taxonomy places the organism in Eukaryota, Viridiplantae, Streptophyta, Magnoliopsida, Solanales, Solanaceae. The record is from RefSeq and is a predicted model, not a curated record.